AAAUAACACAAGGGCUGUUCUGAAGGUAAUACCACCAAUAUAUUGGCCAAUGAUGUCAGAAGUGCUAUUGCAGAAGAGGUUGAACAUUACCACCAAUACUCUGUUACAUUUUGUUAUCGUGUGACAGAUGACAGCAGAGAGGCAGUCAGACAAAAUGGUGUCUGACGUGGAAGUGCAUAUGAAGAAAAGGUAACAUUGCUGGAGAACAGUGAUUGCCACAAUAAUAAAAGUUAAAACC
This 238-nucleotide long non-coding RNA is filed under the name Gallus gallus (chicken). Lineage: Eukaryota; Metazoa; Chordata; Aves; Galliformes; Phasianidae. The record is from RNAcentral.